GACGGACGUUGGCGGCGUGCUUAAUACAUGCAAGUCAACUGAAGCAGUGGUAGCAAUAUCGCUGUGGAGGUGGCGCACGGGUGAGUAACACGUAGGUAAUCUGCCUUCAGGUCUGGCAUAACUCCGGGAAACCGGGGCUAAUAGCAGAUGAUGCAGCGGCUCGACAUCGAGACAGUUGUUAAAGCUAUGGCGCCUGAAGAUGAGCCUGCGUCUGAUUAGCUAGUUGGCGGGGUAACGGCCCACCAAGGCAACGAUCAGUAGCUGGUCUGAGAGGAUGAUCAGCCACACUGGAACUGAGACACGGUCCAGACUCCUACGGGAGGCAGCAGUAAGGAAUAUUGCUCAAUGGGAGAAAUCCUGAAGCAGCAACGCCGCGUGAGGGACGAAGGGCUUUGGCUUGUAAACCUCUGUAGUGAGAGAAAAAAAUCCCAAUCUUUGGGACAUGAUGGUAUCUCAAAAGUAAGCCCCGGCUAACUACGUG
Molecule: ribosomal RNA, 481 nt
Filed under: uncultured bacterium
Lineage: Bacteria
Description: partial 16S ribosomal RNA
Rfam family: Bacterial small subunit ribosomal RNA
Source: RNAcentral